GGGUGUGGCUCAGAGGUAGAGCACAUGCUUAGUGUGCAUGGGCCCUGGGUUUGAUUUCCAGAAACCCC
Molecule: transfer RNA, 68 nt
Filed under: Heterocephalus glaber (naked mole-rat)
Lineage: Eukaryota; Metazoa; Chordata; Mammalia; Rodentia; Bathyergidae
Rfam family: tRNA
About the family: Transfer RNA (tRNA) molecules are approximately 80 nucleotides in length. Their secondary structure includes four short double-helical elements and three loops (D, anti-codon, and T loops). Further hydrogen bonds mediate the characteristic L-shaped molecular structure. tRNAs have two regions of fundamental functional importance: the anti-codon, which is responsible for specific mRNA codon recognition, and the 3' end, to which the tRNAs corresponding amino acid is attached (by aminoacyl-tRNA synthetases). tRNAs cope with the degeneracy of the genetic code in two manners: having more than one tRNA (with a specific anti-codon) for a particular amino acid; and 'wobble' base-pairing, i.e. permitting non-standard base-pairing at the 3rd anti-codon position.
Source: Rfam by way of RNAcentral